ACCUGCCCUGUACACACGGAUAACAUACCGAAAGGUAUGCUAAUACGAGAUAAAAUACUUUUAUCGCAUGGUAGAAGUAUCAAAGCUUUUGCGGUACAGGAUGGACCCGCGUCUGAUUAGCUAGUUGGUAAGGUAACGGCUUACCUAGGCGACGAUCAGUAGCCGACCUGAGAGGGUGAUCGGCCACAUUGGAACUGAGACACGGUCCAAACUUAAACGGGAGGCAGCAGUGGGGAAUAUUGCACAAUGGGCGAAAGCCUGAUGCAGCAACGCCGCGUGAGCGAUGAAGGCCUUCGGGUCGUAAAGCUCUGUCCUCAAGGAAGAUAAUGACGGUACUUGAGGAGGAAGCCCCGGCUAACUACGUGCCAGCAGCCGCGGUAAUACGUAGGGGGCUAGCGUUAUCCGGAAUUACUGGGCGUAAAGGGUGCGUAGGUGGUUUCUUAAGUCAGAGGUGAAAGGCUACGGCUCAACCGUAGUAAGCCUUUGAAACUGGGGAACUUGAGUGCAGGAGAGGAGAGUGGAAUUCCUAGUGUAGCGGUGAAAUGCGUAGAUAUUACGAGGAACACCAGUUGCGAAGGCGGCUCUCUGGACUGUAACUGACACUGAGGCACGAAAGCGUGGGGAGCAAACAGGAUUAGAUACCCUGGUAGUCCACGCCGUAAACGAUGAGUACUAGCUGUCGGAGGUUACCCCCUUCGGUGGCGCAGCUAACGCAUUAAGUACUCCGCCUGGGAAGUACGCUCGCAAG
RNAcentral lists this ribosomal RNA (748 nucleotides) under uncultured bacterium. RNAcentral describes it as "bacterial SSU rRNA". It matches the Rfam family "Bacterial small subunit ribosomal RNA", at positions 124 to 892 of the family's 1533-position model. The record is from RNAcentral.